Musa acuminata AAA Group (dessert banana) is the source of this 1255-nucleotide long non-coding RNA. RefSeq lists it as uncharacterized. The transcript has 5 exons. NCBI's taxonomy places the organism in Eukaryota, Viridiplantae, Streptophyta, Magnoliopsida, Zingiberales, Musaceae. The record is from RefSeq and is a predicted model, not a curated record.
CCGGCCAGGGACCGGUCCACUACUCCCGGUUCCUUUUUCUCUCGACGUCACCCGUCGCCUGCCACGUUUCAGUGCUCUAAUCUCGUCGACGACGCCUGCUCACGAUCCCUGUCACGCCGAGGUCCCGCCACCGCCGCCGAUUCCGAAGGAAUCUCUCUCCCUCUCUUUUAAGCUACUAGCUCGUGGUUUCAUCUGUUGCUACGGCAAGUUACUCAGGGAAUGGCACCAUAGGGUUGCCAAAGGUAUGGUCGAGCAAAAUUUGGUUGUACAGAGACAAAGUUACCAAUGACCCAAUGGGUGAUGCAACAAUUACAUACAAGGAUCCUCAUGCUGUUGUUGAAUGGUUCCACAACAAGGAUUUUCAUGGAGCCCCCAUUGAAGUACAUAUAGCAGAGUCAAAAACCAAAGAUUUGAAUGAUCAUUCAUAUGCUCAACAGAAUGGCUUUGAAGCAAAUUCAAGCACGGUACCUGGGGUGUAUGAUGAUGUGGAUCGUGGUGGAGGUAGAGGUAUAAGUCGUGGUGAUGCUUCAGGACAGUCAUGGCAGAAAGAUGGAGACUGGAUGUGUCCAAAUACAAGGUCUUUGGUAUGACAAUGAUGUUCGAAUGUGAACUUUGCAUUCUGAGGUGUUUGUAAUUGGUGUGGGACAGCUUGACCUGCUGGUGCUGGUGGAACAGGUGCUGUUGGUGGUAGAGGGAGGGGCCGUGGUGGUGGUGAUACUGGGGAACGUGCCCGUCAUGUUGGUGGUUCUAUGGGGCUCUUUGGUUCAAAUGACUGGCCCUGUCCAAUGAUGAUGGGGAAAUAUAUGAUGAAUUUGGCAACCUUAAGAAGAAAUUCCGUGCAAAAACACAACGGGCUGAAUCUGGACAGAUGGUUCCUGGUUCUGGACGUGCUGAAUGGGAGGUUGAUGAGACAGUUAUGACUGGGAGACAUGGUAUGGAUAAAAGCAGAGACCGCUGCAGAGAUAGCAACAAGCGAGAAAGCAGCAAGAACAGAGAAAUAGAUGGUCCUGAGAGGGAAAGGCGCUGCAGCCGAAGCAGAGAAAAGGAGAGGGAGUGUGAGAAGGAAAGGCGGAGAGUUUCAGAUACAGAGCACCUAGUACAAAAGAUGUUGGUGAUUGGUAGUAGUGCUUAACCAACCCUAGAUUUGAUUACUGUGCAUUCUCUUGAUAUCACAGCGUUGAAGUUUUGUUAUUCAAACUGUCUUAUGUUGCCUGUACCUGGAAGCUUUAUGCUAAAAUUCUCAGUUCCACACUUA